CGGUAACGUGAUGGCAUCGGUUCUAGUGGGGAGCAGCCACUAGAGGAAACGGGGAAAGUGCAGUGAGAAUCUGCCGCUGUCCCGCAGCUGUAAUGGAGAAAGUGUUGAGUGUUGAGUGAAAGCCAAUUCAAAACUCAAAACUCAAAGUUUCUCCUGAGUCAGAAUGCCCGCCGAUGGUAACGCUGUUCU
Molecule: non-coding RNA, 189 nt
Filed under: Halomicronema hongdechloris
Lineage: Bacteria; Bacillati; Cyanobacteriota; Cyanophyceae; Nodosilineales; Nodosilineaceae
Also listed under: 1 other name
Source: RNAcentral